CAGGUCUGCUGAAUAUGCAGGCUUAGGUUCCAAGUUUGUCUUCUAAUAGGCUCACGAAACUUCUAAUGCCCUUUGUGGGAGCUUUCAAAAGGCACUUAAGGGCCAAAUGGGUCCCUUAUCCAUAUGGUAGACUUAAAUCCAACCUCACAUUUUAUAAGCCAAGUAAGGUCAACCGAAAGUCAUCCUAUUCAUAAUUUUCUAUCUUAUGCUAAUGAAGUGAACUUAUAGAUACCAAAGGCCCCGAUUUUGUUCAGAAGAAGACUGAAUAGUUGAUGAGAAAUCUGAGAACAUCCCUGCCUCCUGAAUGUGAAAUGAUAUGGAUGGUUUAAGACUGUACCAAAAUUUCUACCCACUCAAUUCCUCCUACAGGUGUCCUAGCGGACGUUAACUCAUUUUCCUUCCCAUUGCCACCCCCUUCAUCUAGGUAUUUAUCACAUGCCACUUGCAUUAUAGCUUCUGUCUCCUGUCAUUCCCUGAGCUACUGGAAUGGCUUUCUUACAAUCUUUGCCAACAGUCUCUCUCUCUCUCUCUUUUUUUUUCUUUUUUUGGUUUUUAGGGCCGUACCCAUGGCAUAUGGAGGUUCCCAGGCUAGGGGUCGAAUUGGAGCUACAGCUGCCGGCCUGCAUCACAGCCACAGCAACACAGGAUCCAAGCCAUGUCUGUGACCUACACCACAGCUCAUGGCAACGCCAGAUCCUUAACCCUCUGAGCGAGGCCAGUGAUUGAACCCACAACCUCGUGGUUCCUUGUUGGAUUUGUUUCUGCUGUGCCAUCACGGGAACGCACCCCAUCUUUUCUUGAUUGUCUUAACAGCUUUGUCAGAUUUCAUUUUCUCAAGCACAACUUGAGUUGCGCCCUUAUCCCACUCCAAAAGCCUUUAUAAUUUCCCAUUGCUUAUAACGUGAAUUCUAAGCUCACUGGCUCCACAAGAAAGGACUGAUAGGGUUUGGGCCGGUGUCCGGUGAUUUGUGGGGAGGGUUUGAGGAAGCAGGGCUUUGUUCUGGGUUGGCUGUUAUCAGGAGGCAGGGGUACUUGUGAUUUAGGGAUCGGAGGUCUUCAUGCCAUCCACAGCAACGUGAAUUCAUCUGGAGAGUCUCAUACUGAGUGAAGUAAGCCAGAAAGGGAAAGACAGAUACCAUAUGAUAUCACUACUUACAUAUAGAAUCUAAAAUAUGACACCAACAAACCUACUUAUGAAACAGAGGCAGACUCAUGGACAAGGAGAACAGACUUGUGGUUGCCAAGGGGGAGGGGUUUGGAAAAGGGAUGGAGUGGGAGGUUGGGGUGAGCAGAUGUAAGCUAUUAUUUAUGCACGGGAUAAUCAACAAAGUCCUACCGUAUAGGACAGAGACCUGUAAUCAAUGCCCUGGGAUAAACCACAGUGGAAAAGAAUAUAUUUUAAAAGAAUGUGUAUAUGCAUGUGUGUGUGCGUAUAACUGAAUCACUUUGUUGUACAGCAGAAAUUAACACAUUAUAAAUCAACCACACUUCAAGGAAAAAAAAAUCAAAGGGGAAAUCAGAGUGAGACUGAUACUGUAUUUGAUAAAGAAGUCGAAGUUACUUCUGUUGGCCAAAAUAUUGGGGUGUUUGGUCGCUUUUGUGGUCUAGACAGACGUCAUGCAUUUUUCUUUGUUCAGACAUGUUAUGGUGUGGUCUUCUUUCUUCCUGAUCUGUCACCAUCAUAAGGUGACCUCCUCUGAUACUGGUAUUGCGUGAAAUUACUUUCAACAGGAGGACACCAAGGCUUAGCUGUGAGUGCCAGGCUAGCACCUGGAUGUCAGGGACAGCGUCUCUGUUUCUCAGGAUGUAAUUAAUAAUUGGUAAAAGAUAAAAGUUGAUGGGUGCCUAAUUUACAAAGUAGUUUCACUGAAGUAUCCUCAGCAUGGGAACCUAGUACCAUUAGUUCUAGGGAUCAAACUUCCUGGCUCAAUUUAGAUGCUGCCAUCAGACAGGAAGAAAGAACAGUAAGAAUCAUGUGAGAGGGAGUUCGCUUAUGGCACAAUGGGUUCAGGAUCUGGUGUUGGCCCUGCAGCUGUCUGGGCGGUUGCUGUGGCAAGGGUUCGAUCCGUGGCCCGGGAAUUACCACAUGCUGUGGGUGUGACCCAUGGGCGGGGGGAAAUAAAAAGAGAAUCAUGUCAGAUGUUAUUGAUGUGUGUCUCUUCAAAGCUGGCCCACACUUGUGCUAGCAUUCCACUAGCCAGAACUCAGAUACAUAGAUGGUCCUGUCUAACCGCAAAGGAGGCUGGGAAGUGUCAUCUAGCUAUGUGUCCCUAGAGUUGAGAAACACAUUUUGGAGAAUAGCGGAAAGUCUCUGCCUUGCCUUAAUUAUCCCUGCCCAAAUUCCCAAGUAAAAUACCAUUCAUCAUUCCAAAUAGGUAUUUGUCAACUAAUAGAAAACAGUCUGGAAGGAUCUCCACCUGACAAGUCAUGGUGUUUUUCUCUGAGGAGGCGGGAAGGUUGACAGCAGUGUUAAAGCAGGAUGUUUUCUUGUUAUUCUUUACACUUCCCUAUUUCUAUUCUCUAUUCUUAUUUUCUGACUUAUAGUCGUGUACUCCUGUGGUAAUUAAAGCAUUAAAGAUCAUUAAACGAGGGGCAAGAAAUGUUGAAAAUACAUGGGGGAAAUGUGUAAAUUAGGCAUGCGUUUCUGACACAGCACAGGG
Molecule: long non-coding RNA, 2660 nt
Filed under: Sus scrofa (pig)
Lineage: Eukaryota; Metazoa; Chordata; Mammalia; Artiodactyla; Suidae
Description: lncRNA (ENSSSCG00015057252.1)
Source: RNAcentral